RNAcentral lists this ribosomal RNA (1427 nucleotides) under uncultured organism. RNAcentral describes it as "16S ribosomal RNA". It matches the Rfam family "Bacterial small subunit ribosomal RNA". The record is from RNAcentral.
UGGCGGCGUGGAUAAGACAUGCAAGUCGAACGAGAGAAUUGCUAGCUUGCUAAUAAUUCUCUAGUGGCGCACGGGUGAGUAACACGUGAGUAACCUGCCCCCGAGAGCGGGAUAGCCCUGGGAAACUGGGAUUAAUACCGCACAGUAUCGAAAGAUUAAAGCAGCAAUGCGCUUGGGGAUGGGCUCGCGGCCUAUUAGUUAGUUGGUGAGGUAACGGCUCACCAAGGCGAUGAUGGGUAGCCGGUCUGAGAGGAUGUCCGGCCACACUGGAACUGAGACACGGUCCAGACACCUACGGGUGGCAGCAGUCGAGAAUCAUUCACAAUGGGGGAAACCCUGAUGGUUCGACGCCGCGUGGGGGAAUGAAGGUCUUCGGAUUGUAAACCCCUGUCAUGUGGGAGCAAAUUAAAAAGAUAGUACCACAAGAGGAAGAGACGGCUAACUCUGUGCCAGCAGCCGCGGUAAUACAGAGGUCUCAAGCGUUGUUCGGAAUCACUGGGCGUAAAGCGUGCGUAGGCUGUUUCGUAAGUCGUGUGUGAAAGGCGCGGGCUCAACCCGCGGACGGCACAUGAUACUGCGAGACUAGAGUAAUGGAGGGGGAACCGGAAUUCUCGGUGUAGCAGUGAAAUGCGUAGAUAUCGAGAGGAACACUCGUGGCGAAGGCGGGUUCCUGGACAUUAACUGACGCUGAGGCACGAAGGCCAGGGGAGCGAAAGGGAUUAGAUACCCCUGUAGUCCUGGCAGUAAACGGUGCACGCUUGGUGUGCGGGGAAUCGACCCCCUGCGUGCCGGAGCUAACGCGUUAAGCGUGCCGCCUGGGGAGUACGGUCGCAAGAUUAAAACUCAAAGAAAUUGACGGGGACCCGCACAAGCGGUGGAGUAUGUGGCUUAAUUCGAUGCAACGCGAAGAACCUUACCUGGGCUUGACAUGUAAUGAACAACAUGUGAAAGCAUGCGACUCUUCGGAGGCGUUACACAGGUGCUGCAUGGCCGUCGUCAGCUCGUGUCGUGAGAUGUUUGGUUAAGUCCAGCAACGAGCGCAACCCCUGUUGCCAGUUACCAGCACGUGAAGGUGGGGACUCUGGCGAGACUGCCCAGAUCAACUGGGAGGAAGGUGGGGACGACGUCAGGUCAGUAUAGCCCUUAUGCCCAGGGCUGCACACGUACUACAAUGCCCAGUACAGAGGGGGCCGAAGCCGCGAGGCGGAGGAAAUCCUGAAAACUGGGCCCAGUUCGGACUGUAGGCUGCAACCCGCCUACACGAAGCCGGAAUCGCUAGUAAUGGCGCAUCAGCUACGGCGCCGUGAAUACGUUCCCGGGUCUUGUACACACCGCCCGUCACAUCAUGGAAGCCGGUCGCACCCGAAGUAUCUGAAGCCAACCGCAAGGAGGCAGGGUCCUAAGGUGAGACUGGUAACUGGGAUGAA